UGGGGGAUAUUGCACAAUGGGCGAAAGCCUGAUGCAGCGACGCCGCGUGGGGUAUGAAGGCCUUCGGGUUGUAAACUUCUUUUGCUCUGAACAAGGCGCACCAUGGGGUGUGUUGAGUGUAGGGGUUGAUUAGCGCCGGCUAACUACGUGCCAGCAGCCGCGGUAAUACGUAGGGCGCGAGCGUUGUCCGGAAUUAUUGGGCGUAAAGGGCUUGUAGGUGGCUGGUUGCGUCUGUCGUGAAAGCUCAUGGCUUAACUGUGGGUUGGCGGUGGGUACGGGCUGGCUUGAGUGCAGUAGGGGAGGCUGGAAUUCCUGGUGUAGCGGUGGAAUGCGCAGAUAUCAGGAGGAAUACCGGUGGCGAAGGCGGGUCGCUGGGCUGUUACUGACACUGAGGAGCGAAAGCAUGGGGAGCGAACAGG
Molecule: ribosomal RNA, 419 nt
Filed under: bacterium
Lineage: Bacteria
Description: partial 16S ribosomal RNA
Rfam family: Bacterial small subunit ribosomal RNA
Source: RNAcentral